GACGAAAGCAAAAAAAAGAAGAGAGAGAAAAAAAGAAAUUUUGAGACGAAUAAAAAAGUUUCAUGAUAAAUAGCGAUUUUCUUUUUCUUUUAAACCCUAUUUUUAAGAGCAAAAAUCCUUUGAAUAAGAAUGUUACAGGUGAAUGUUCUUAAGAAAA
RNAcentral lists this non-coding RNA (157 nucleotides) under Chloropicon mariensis. Lineage: Eukaryota; Viridiplantae; Chlorophyta; Chloropicophyceae; Chloropicales; Chloropicaceae. The record is from RNAcentral.